UGCAAGUCGUGGGGCAGCAGGACUGUAGCAAUACAGUUGCUGGCGACCGGCAAACGGGUGCGGAACACGUACACAACCUUCCUUUAAGUGGGGAAUAGCCCGGGGAAACCCGGAUUAAUACCCCGUAAUAUAAUGAAGUGGCAUCACUUUAUUAUUAUAGCUCCGGCGCUUGAAGAUGGGUGUGCGACUGAUUAGGCAGUUGGCGGGGUAACGGCCCACCAAACCUACGAUCAGUAACUGGUGUGAGAGCACGACCAGUCACACGGGCACUGAGACACGGGCCCGACUCCUACGGGAGGCAGCAGUAAGGAAUAUUGGUCAAUGGACGCAAGUCUGAACCAGCCAUGCCGCGUGGAGGAUGAAGGUCCUCUGGAUUGUAAACUUCUUUUAUCUGGGAAGAAACCCACGAAUUCUUUUGUGGUUGACGGUACCAGAUGAAUAAGCACCGGCUAACUCCGUGCCAGCAGCCGCGGUAAUACGGAGGGUGCAAGCGUUAUCCGGAUUCACUGGGUUUAAAGGGUGCGUAGGUGGGUUGGUAAGUCAGUGGUGAAAUCUCCAGGCUUAACUUGGAAACUGCCAUUGAUACUAUCAAUCUUGAAUACCGUGGAGGUCAGCGGAAUAUGUCAUGUAGCGGUGAAAUGCUUAGAUAUGACAUAGAACACCAAUUGCGAAGGCAGCUGGCUACACGAAUAUUGACACUGAUGCACGAAAGCGUGGGGAUCAAACAGGAUUAGAUACCCUGGUAGUCCACGCCCUAAACGAUGGAUACUCGACAUACGCGAUAUACUGUGUGUGUCUGAGCGAAAGCAUUAAGUAU
Molecule: ribosomal RNA, 817 nt
Filed under: uncultured Sphingobacteriales bacterium
Lineage: Bacteria; Pseudomonadati; Bacteroidota; Sphingobacteriia; Sphingobacteriales
Description: bacterial SSU rRNA
Rfam family: Bacterial small subunit ribosomal RNA
Source: RNAcentral